CCAGAGAGUGAGAAACCCUAGGCGUGCUAUGCGCCGCAUCGCACCCAAACUCUCUCGCCGCCUACCUCAGGCCUCAGUCAGACGGCGCUCCGGCUGCCCCCCCCCCCUGGCCGGCCUACUCCGCUCCUCCGCCGGCCACCAAGUUCUCCUGCUGGGACUGGGGACCCUACUAAACCCGACGAGCCGUAAGAGCUCGCCGCCGCCGCCUCGGAUCGCCUCCGCCGCCUCGGAUCGCCUCCGCUCGGUAAUGACAGGACAUAAUUGACAAGAUAUCAGAGAAGAUGGAAAAUCAGGCGGUCUUGCUACCUCAAGACAUGCUUGCAGACGUCCUACGCCGUCUUGCACCACGUGACCUUGCCAUAUCUCGUUGCGUCAGCAAGGCCUGGUGCACCAUCAUCGAUGCUCGCCACCUACUUCCAGCUGACCUCCUUCCACACUGGGUAGGCGGUAUAAUCAUCAAUUUCAACGGCUUAAUGUUGUCAGAAUUCUUCUCUCGCCCAUCGACAGGCCCCUCGGUGUCUGGCCACCUCAACUACUUACCUUCCACAUCUCUCGUCAAGGACCAUUGCAAUGGCCUUCUUUUGCUUGAUGGCUACGUGGUUAACCCCGCUACACGACAGUGGGCGGAGUUGCCACCGUGCCCAUCUUUGGGGCUGGAGUUUUUCGAUGGAGAGCACCUUGUGUUUGACCCAACCAUAUCACCGCACUAUGAGGUGUUGGCAAUCCCCAUUUGCCCCAUGUCAGACCCUGAUGUCAAAUUGGAUCCCGCUCUUGAGGAAUUAGAAUGGCCACCGUCAUUAUGCAUAAUACAUGUGUUCUCAUCAAGGACAAAACAAUGGGAGGAGAGGCCCCUUGUUCGGGAAGGGGAGUCUGCUGGGACAAUUGCAGACAUCUGAUCGGCUCGUCAAUAUUAUCAGAACCGUGCUGUCUACUGGCGAGGAUCUCUUUAUGUUCAUUUGCCAAACCAGUUUGUUAUGAGGAUAUCAUUGUCAGACAACAAGUAUCAAGUAAUUAAACCACCGCAAGGGAGAAGCCCUCUAUUUGGGGCAAAAGAGCUUUAUAUAGGUAAGUCAAAGAAGGGGGUUUAUUGUGCAGCUGUGCAUAACCUGGUCCGGGUAUGGAUCCUUGAUGAAUCCUGUGGGCAGUUGGUAUGGGUGUUGAGGCAUAACAUUUCCCUUCACGUUGACUCUGAUGAAAGCAGCAGACCCUGGACAUUACAGGAUGUUAACUAUUAUGAAGAGUGUGGUGAGGAUGCUAAAGAUGAAGCAAUUGUGCCGCAGAAAUUUGACUGGGAUUCUGACAGUGAUAAUCUUAUUGACCCCAAAAGCAUGGCUGAUGACGAGUCUCCUCGUUAUACUGGUAUACUUGGAUUUCAUCCUUUCAAAGAGGUUGUCUUCCUGUGUGUCGUAUUGAAGAGAGGGCUGGCAUAUCAUUUGGAUGGUUCGAAGGUUCAAGAGUUGGGAAACAUAUUUCCCAAAUGUUAUGGCCCAUCGCAUGGUAUCCACCCGUUUAUAGAAGAGUCAUUCAUAUACACUCCUUGCUGGAUGGAGUUACCAUAGAGCAAUCAAUUUUACUCAUCUUCUCUUGUGAUGAGCACAGCGUAUCUGAAUAAGAGAUCUAAUAGUCAACUUAUCUCAAUUGAGUUUCUUUUGGUCUGUUGUAUGUAUGUCAACAUUGACUGGUCAUAUCUAAGCCUCAUUGCUGAAUGUUUUUUGUGUUUCGAGUAACAUUAAUUAAUGUUUGUGUAUGUCCCAAGUUGCUGAACUAAUGGAAGCAUGCCAUAUAUAUUGUGUGUA
Hordeum vulgare subsp. vulgare (domesticated barley) is the source of this 1796-nucleotide RNA transcript. RefSeq lists it as uncharacterized. Lineage: Eukaryota; Viridiplantae; Streptophyta; Magnoliopsida; Poales; Poaceae. The transcript has 3 exons. The record is from RefSeq and is a predicted model, not a curated record.